This 720-nucleotide ribosomal RNA is filed under the name Triticum aestivum (bread wheat). RNAcentral describes it as "partial small subunit ribosomal RNA". The record is from RNAcentral. Lineage: Eukaryota; Viridiplantae; Streptophyta; Magnoliopsida; Poales; Poaceae.
AUGAGGCAACCUCCAGGGUAUGAAGAUCCGACUAGGAGACAACAUGUAUGUAAAUUGGAUAAAGCUCUCUAUGGCCUGAAACAGGCUCCUCGAGCAUGGUUUUCUAGACUCAGCUCAAAACUAAUGGCUCUAGGAUUUUCCUCUUCGCGGGCGGACACAUCAUUGUUCUUCAUAAAUCAAGGUGGGAUUACAAUGUACCUUCUUAUUUAUGUGGAUGACAUCAUAGUCGCAAGUUCGUCCGAUUCUGUAGUUAGCGCCUUGCUCAAAGAUCUGCAACGUGAUUUUGCUCUUAAAGAUUUGGGAAAUCUCCAUUAUUUUCUUGGCAUUGAGGUGAAAAGGAAAGAUAAUGGGAUAUUGUUGACACAGGAGAAAUAUGCUAAUGACCUUCUGAAGCGAGUUGCAAUGCAACACUGCAAGCCAUCGGAUACACCACUCUCAGUUUCAGAAAAAUUAUCAAUUGAAGAUGGUGACCGGCUCAGUGAUGAUGAUGGAACCAGAUAUAGAAGUAUAGUGGGAGCAUUGCAGUACUUGACCUUGACAAGACCAGAUAUUGCUUUUGCUGUGAACAAAGUUUGUCAGUUUCUUCAUUCACCCACUAGCGUACAUUGGACUGCAGUUAAGAGAAUUCUGCGAUAUGUUAGAGGUACGGUUGGAGUAGGACUAAAAAUUACAAAUUCCAAGUCUACUCUUGUCAGUGCCUUCUCAGAUGUGGGCUGGUAG